ACUGGGUGGUUGUUAGAAGAAGCGCGUGUGAUGUCAUCACUGCACAACAGGCUGAGUGCCUCAACAAGAGACUGACAUAAAACGAAUUGAAGAUUGAUGUAGAUUGACUUGCCGUCCUGAAAAGUGUGAUCCUGCUGAGUUGCUCACGUAGGGGAAAAGUUGUUCUGCGUGAAUUCAGGGGAGAGAGCAGUGUCCACGUCCUUCAGAGUGCUGGGUUGGUCUGGACAGUCUGUCAGCCAUUUUGUGAGGACUAACUGUCCUUGUGGGGCACUGUGACCCACCACAGAUGCAGAUGUUUCCUUUCUUUUGGUAAGACUUGUUGACACACUAACGGCUGCGUUCAGACUGCAGCCUGAAGUUCCCAAAUCAGAUUUUUUGGCCUCUAUGUUCCUGUAUCUGAUCUUUAAAUGUCAGUCUGAACCACACAGAUCUGAUUUUUUCAAACAUAACCCAGGACACUUGGAUAUGUGCUCCUGAAACUGAUACAUAUCUGAUCUUUAACAUGUGACUUCAGUGUGAACGGACAAAGUGCAUUCAUCCACCUACACGUUAUCAACAAGACACAAACGUCACUAUUCUGCGCUGAAGUCAGCGAAAAUUGUUAAUGAACUCUGUGUGACUGAAGUGAAGCACAUCUCCACUCACCACUCUUGGCUCCGUCUCCACAUCCACACGUUCCUUUCAACGGACUGAACCACAAAACACCACGACCAAAAACCUCGUCCUUCUCCUUCUCAAUCUCCUCCUUAAAACAAGUAAGUUGUUCAUGUUCUGGCUCCGGUACGAGAGGAACUUUAAAAUCUCCAGGUGCUCGAUGCUGCGUCCAUGUUUGGACAACUUCUGUAAACACAGAGACGCUCGCUGCGGUUGACGUCGUCGUGUCUCCAGUGUCACAUGUGGGACACUUUUGGGCCGUUUAAUGUUCACACUGGAGUCACACACAAGUCACAUUUAACUGGAAAUGUGAACGACCUCGAAAAAACAUCGGAUUUCACAAAAAAAUCUGAAUUGAGCGUUAAACCCUGCAGCCUGAACGUAGCCUAAGAGUCUGAGAACCAGUGUUGUGAAGGUGACUUUUAAAAUGUAAUCCACAUUACAGAUUACAGAUUACACACACCAAAAUGUAGUUUGUAACGUAAUCCAUUAAAUUACUUAAAGUGAGUAACAUAAUCUGAAUACUUUGGAUUACUUGAUAUUGUCAUGCUUUUUAAAACUACAUGAAUUUAGCAACAACAUCCUGAAAAUUCGUGGUUUGUUCAGUCUUUACUUGACCAGAUUAAAAAUAUUAUCGAUGGAAAAAUGAUUUUUAUAUGAGACACUGCUUUAAAUUAUGUCCACCUACUGUUAGUGUCACACUGUAUAGU
This is a long non-coding RNA of Boleophthalmus pectinirostris (great blue-spotted mudskipper), 1364 nucleotides long. RefSeq lists it as uncharacterized. The record is from RefSeq and is a predicted model, not a curated record. NCBI's taxonomy places the organism in Eukaryota, Metazoa, Chordata, Actinopteri, Gobiiformes, Gobiidae. The transcript is spliced from 4 exons.